This 45-nucleotide non-coding RNA is filed under the name Schistosoma mattheei. Lineage: Eukaryota; Metazoa; Platyhelminthes; Trematoda; Strigeidida; Schistosomatidae. The record is from RNAcentral.
AUCCAACUGACGAGUCCCAAAUAGGACGAAACGCUCGUCCUGAAU